GAUGAACGCUGGCGGCGUGCUUAACACAUGCAAGUCGAACGGGAUCCAUCAGGCUUUGCUUGGUGGUGAGAGUGGCGAACGGGUGAGUAAUGCGUGACCGACCUGCCCCAUACACCGGAAUAGCUCCUGGAAACGGGUGGUAAUGCCGGAUGCUCCGACUCCUCGCAUGGGGUGUCGGGAAAGAUUUCAUCGGUAUGGGAUGGGGUCGCGUCCUAUCAGGUAGUCGGCGGGGUAACGGCCCACCGAGCCUACGACGGGUAGCCGGCCUGAGAGGGCGACCGGCCACAUUGGGACUGAGAUACGGCCCAGACUCCUACGGGAGGCAGCAGUGGGGAAUAUUGCACAAUGGGCGCAAGCCUGAUGCAGCGACGCCGCGUGCGGGAUGACGGCCUUCGGGUUGUAAACCGCUUUUGAUCGGGAGCAAGCCUUCGGGUGAGUG
This 439-nucleotide ribosomal RNA is filed under the name uncultured bacterium. RNAcentral's name for it is "bacterial SSU rRNA". It matches the Rfam family "Bacterial small subunit ribosomal RNA", at positions 28 to 464 of the family's 1533-position model. The record is from RNAcentral.